GGGCUCGUAGAUCAGUCUGGUAGAUCGUCCGGUUGGCAAUCGGGAGGCCUCGGGUUCAAAUCCCGACGGGUCCA
Molecule: transfer RNA, 74 nt
Rfam family: tRNA
About the family: Transfer RNA (tRNA) molecules are approximately 80 nucleotides in length. Their secondary structure includes four short double-helical elements and three loops (D, anti-codon, and T loops). Further hydrogen bonds mediate the characteristic L-shaped molecular structure. tRNAs have two regions of fundamental functional importance: the anti-codon, which is responsible for specific mRNA codon recognition, and the 3' end, to which the tRNAs corresponding amino acid is attached (by aminoacyl-tRNA synthetases). tRNAs cope with the degeneracy of the genetic code in two manners: having more than one tRNA (with a specific anti-codon) for a particular amino acid; and 'wobble' base-pairing, i.e. permitting non-standard base-pairing at the 3rd anti-codon position.
Source: Rfam